RNAcentral lists this ribosomal RNA (639 nucleotides) under Sporosarcina sp. MYb234. RNAcentral's name for it is "bacterial SSU rRNA". It matches the Rfam family "Bacterial small subunit ribosomal RNA", at positions 61 to 684 of the family's 1533-position model. The record is from RNAcentral. Lineage: Bacteria; Bacillati; Bacillota; Bacilli; Caryophanales; Caryophanaceae.
GUCGAGCGGAUUGAAGGAGCUUGCUCCCUGAUAUUAGCGGCGGACGGGUGAGUAACACGUGGGCAACCUGCCCUGCAGAUGGGGAUAACUCCGGGAAACCGGGGCUAAUACCGAAUAAUCGGUUCUUCCGCAUGGAAGAACUCUGAAAGACGGUUUCGGCUGUCACUGCAGGAUGGGCCCGCGGCGCAUUAGCUAGUUGGUGGGGUAAUGGCCUACCAAGGCGACGAUGCGUAGCCGACCUGAGAGGGUGAUCGGCCACACUGGGACUGAGACACGGCCCAGACUCCUACGGGAGGCAGCAGUAGGGAAUCUUCCACAAUGGACGAAAGUCUGAUGGAGCAACGCCGCGUGAGCGAAGAAGGUUUUCGGAUCGUAAAGCUCUGUUGCGAGGGAAGAACAAGUACGGGAGUAACUGCCCGUACCUUGACGGUACCUCGUCAGAAAGCCACGGCUAACUACGUGCCAGCAGCCGCGGUAAUACGUAGGUGGCAAGCGUUGUCCGGAAUUAUUGGGCGUAAAGCGCGCGCAGGCGGUCCUUUAAGUCUGAUGUGAAAGCCCACGGCUCAACCGUGGAGGGUCAUUGGAAACUGGAGGACUUGAGUACAGAAGAGGAAAGCGGAAUUCCACGUGUAGCGGUGA